This is a long non-coding RNA of Centropristis striata (black sea bass), 1178 nucleotides long. RefSeq lists it as uncharacterized. NCBI's taxonomy places the organism in Eukaryota, Metazoa, Chordata, Actinopteri, Perciformes, Serranidae. The transcript has 4 exons. The record is from RefSeq and is a predicted model, not a curated record.
CUUUAAACAAUAAACAAUAAACAAUUCAGAACAAGAUUACUUGAUUUUUUAUCUUAUAGCUUUCUAUUUGUAUGUGUAUACUGUAUGCACCUCAAUGACUCACUGUGAGUUUUAGGUCUCCAACAGAGGGCAACAUUAUCCCAGUGUUUCCCAGUGCCAAAAGCCAAGAGUAGUGAUGUAACCCCAUCAAAUAUUGCAUGUUUGGCAUGGAGUGUCUAGACUUGUCAGUGGUGGAUUCAAGGGAUGAAUGAUUAGGGAGGAGUGGCUAAGUGGGACUAUUUAGACCCUUAUCUUUGCAUGUUUUUGCAUUUCACAUUCUGGUUCAGCAGGCUGCAAGAUGUCUCCACUUUACUGUCUUGGAUUGGUUUGGCUGACUUUUGCCUUCUAUACUGUCUCUGAGACUGCCAGCAUAAGUAAUGCGACACCGAGUCCAGUCGUUGAAAGGAAAUCCGCUCUCCUGCCUUGUGGUGAAAACCGGUACAACCCCGGGACCCAGUGUUGCCUCACGAUAAAGGAAGAACUGACCGUUGUACCCCACUAUGUGGAUAAUUCCACAGCACUGGGGGUUCAGUUACAUGUUUACCGUUUAUUGAAAGAGGCCUUUGACUUAUUACGAAGAGACAAGAUUUUGGCAUGAAACUCUUCAAAAUCAUCGGAAUACAAACAUAUUAAAAAACUUUGAACCUGUCACGAAUUUCAAGAGAACCUGGCUUUUAUUGUUUUUUGAUGUCUGUCUUGUUGAGAGGUCAACAGGAUUAAUGAUGCUAGACCUGAAACCAGACUCAGCUGGUCUGAAGCUAUCGCUGUGGUCCAAGGGUUACUUUGAAUAUAAUCAAUGUUUCAUAUGAUUCUCUUUUUAUCCUGGAAUCUGUCUAUAUUACAAGUCUCUCUAUAUUUCUGUUUGGGCUAAAUGCAUGUUGUUGGUUUUUUUUUUGUUCUUUUGUUUGUUUGUCUGUUUUCGCCAUGUGGCUUUGUACUGGUGUAUCGUUGUUUUCAAUUUUGUUGUUGUGGUUGUCCUUUAUAUUAUUCUUUGUAUGUUAUUUGUGUGUACAUUAUAUGAGUCUUUGUUGUCUAGAAUUGUGUUUUAGUGUUUUGUUUCCAUAUUGUGGCUCCUAAUAAGUAAUCCACUGUUCUUUUCUUUGUAUAUUCGUUAAUAAAAAUUAUAUUUAAAAAAAAAA